This 496-nucleotide ribosomal RNA is filed under the name uncultured bacterium. RNAcentral describes it as "partial 16S ribosomal RNA". It matches the Rfam family "Bacterial small subunit ribosomal RNA", at positions 28 to 506 of the family's 1533-position model. The record is from RNAcentral.
GAUGAACGCUGGCGGCGUGCCUAAUACAUGCAAGUCGAGCGAACAGACGAGGAGCUUGCUCCUCUGACGUUAGCGGCGGACGGGUGAGUAACACGUGGAUAACCUACCUAUAAGACUGGGAUAACUUCGGGAAACCGGAGCUAAUACCGGAUAACAUGUUGAACCGCAUGGUUCAACAGUGAAAGACGGUUUUGCUGUCACUUAUAGAUGGAUCCGCGUCGCAUUAGCUAGUUGGUAAGGUAACGGCUUACCAAGGCAACGAUGCGUAGCCGACCUGAGAGGGUGAUCGGCCACACUGGAACUGAGACACGGUCCAGACCCCUACGGGAGGCAGCAGUAGGGAAUCUUCCGCAAUGGGCGAAAGCCUGACGGAGCAACGCCGCGUGAGUGAAGAAGGUCUUCGGAUCGUAAAACUCUGUUAUUAGGGAAGAACAAAUGUGUAAGUAACUAUGCACGUCUUGACGGUACCUAAUCAGAAAGCCACGGCUAACUACGU